UACGGAGGGAGCUAGCGUUGUUCGGAAUUACUGGGCGUAAAGCGCGCGUAGGCGGCCCGGUAAGUCCGCUCUGAAAGUCCAGGGCUCAACCCUGGAAAGCGGGUGGAUACUGCCGGGCUAGAAUCCGGAAGAGGCGAGUGGAAUUCCUGGUGUAGCGGUGGAAUGCGCAGAUAUCAGGAAGAACACCCGUGGCGAAGGCGGCUCUCUGGGACGGUACUGACGCUGAGACGCGAAGGCGUGGGGAGCGAACAGG
Molecule: ribosomal RNA, 253 nt
Filed under: uncultured bacterium
Lineage: Bacteria
Description: partial 16S ribosomal RNA
Rfam family: Bacterial small subunit ribosomal RNA
Source: RNAcentral